This 510-nucleotide ribosomal RNA is filed under the name uncultured bacterium. Its description in RNAcentral is "bacterial SSU rRNA". It matches the Rfam family "Bacterial small subunit ribosomal RNA", at positions 1 to 505 of the family's 1533-position model. The record is from RNAcentral.
UUAGAGUUUGAUCAUGGCUCAGGACGAACGCUGGCGGCGCGCUUAACACAUGCAAGUCGAGCGAGAACCCACCUUCGGGUGGGGGAAAGCGGCGAACGGGUGAGUAACACGUGGGCAACCCACCCUUGGUAUCGGGAUAGCCCGGGGAAACCCGGAUUAAUACCGGAUGGCCCAGCAGCUCUUCGGGGCGGCUGGAAAAGGUAGCUUCGGCCUCCGACCAAGGACGGGCCCGCGGCGGAUUAGCUUGUUGGUGGGGUAACGGCCUACCAAGGCGACGAUCCGUAGCUGGUCUGAGAGGACGAUCAGCCACACUGGGACUGAGACACGGCCCAGACUCCUACGGGAGGCAGCAGUGGGGAAUCUUGCGCAAUGGGCGAAAGCCUGACGCAGCGACGCCGCGUGGGGGAAGAAGGCUUUCGGGUUGUAAACCCCUUUCAGGUGGGACGAAGCCACUCGGGUUAAUAGCCCAGAGGGUGACGGUACCGCCAGAAGAAGCCCCGGCUAACUACG